UACGUAGGUGGCAAGCGUUGUCCGGAUUUACUGGGCGUAAAGGGCGUGCAGGCGGUUUGUUUAGUCUAGGGUGAAAGCUCCCGGCUUAACUGGGAGAGGUCCUUGGAUACUGGCAAACUUGAGGGAGGCAGAGGAAAGUGGAAUUCCCGGUGUAGUGGUGAUAUGCGUAGAUAUCGGGAGGAACACCCGUGGCGAAGGCGGCUUCCUGGGCCACCACUGACGCUGAGACGCGAAAGCGUGGGGAGCGAACGGG
Molecule: ribosomal RNA, 253 nt
Filed under: uncultured bacterium
Lineage: Bacteria
Description: partial 16S ribosomal RNA
Rfam family: Bacterial small subunit ribosomal RNA
Source: RNAcentral